Molecule: long non-coding RNA, 360 nt
Organism: Xyrauchen texanus (razorback sucker)
Lineage: Eukaryota; Metazoa; Chordata; Actinopteri; Cypriniformes; Catostomidae
Exons: 3
Source: RefSeq, a predicted model, not a curated record
UGUGCAUGCAAUGGUCUACGUGACAGGCACAUAUUAACAGGCCUGUACAAACCAGUGGCACCACUUUCACCACGUUUGCCUGUUACUCACCAGGACAGCUCACCACCAUGGGACUUUUAAUUCACCAUGCAAUUUCUUUCAUCAGUCCAGGAAGUGGCAUCCAGCUGAGUUCCAACAGUUCCUCUGCACUCUUCCCCAGGCUUAGGGGGCCAGCGCUGACUGACAGAGGCCCUGCCGUGAGAGGCGGAGAGCUCCUCUUGAGCCUCAGCAUGCAGCUCCUUUCCCAGGACCGCCUUGAAGCCUCCGGCCGCUCUCUAGGAGGGCACCACUUCGCUCUCAGACCUCAUCCCCAAACCUUUG